RNAcentral lists this ribosomal RNA (200 nucleotides) under uncultured bacterium. Its description in RNAcentral is "partial 16S ribosomal RNA". It matches the Rfam family "Bacterial small subunit ribosomal RNA", at positions 30 to 248 of the family's 1533-position model. The record is from RNAcentral.
AUUGAACGCUGGCGGCAGGCCUAACACAUGCAAGUCGAGCGGGGUUUUCGGACCUAGCGGCGGACGGGUGAGUAAUACGUAGGAACUUACCCUUCAGAGGGGGAUAACCAGGGGAAACCCUGGCUAAUACCGCGUAAUCUCGAGAGAGCAAAGCUGCCGUAAGGUGGCGCUGAAGGAGAGGCCUGCGUCCGAUUAGCUAG